RNAcentral lists this ribosomal RNA (1455 nucleotides) under Triticum aestivum (bread wheat). Its description in RNAcentral is "partial small subunit ribosomal RNA". Lineage: Eukaryota; Viridiplantae; Streptophyta; Magnoliopsida; Poales; Poaceae. The record is from RNAcentral.
AUGUAUCCAGUUUGUAUGGGUGUUUUUGAUUCUGAAACUAAUGAGAACUGGAUCUGGUUCAUGCAAUUGGUUAGGCAAGCCAUAGGAUCCCCAAGGGGUUUAACCAUAUGCACAGACGCUGGGCAGCCAGUGAUGAUAGGUGUAAAAGAAGUGUUCCCAGAGGCUGAACAUAGGGAAUGUAUGUUUCACUUGGUGUCCAACUUCAAUAAGAAGUUUCAUGGAAAGGUUUUUGAUGACCACCUUUGGGCUGCUGCUUACUCAUGGAACCCAUAUUUAUUUGAGAAAAAUUGGGUUGCAAUGGACAUAGCAAAGCCAGCGGCAGCUGCACUUAGGAAGUGGCACACUAGGUUGUGGUCUAGGUGUCAGUUCUCAACAAUUUCCAAGGUGGAUUAUGUUACAAACAACUUGGCUGAGUGCUUCAAUAAUUGGAUUAAGCAUCACAAGUCCUUGAACUUGGACGACUUCUUUGAUAAGCUUAGGCAAUUGAUUAUGAUCAUGUGGAACCGAAGGAGAAAGGUAGCAAGAAAGUUAGUUGGGUUGAUUCUUCCCCACAUAAUUAAGAAGUUGAAUGCAAAGACCAGAGAAUUAAACUUGGAGGUGGUUGAAAGCUCAGAAGAAGUUGCUGAAGUAACCGCAUUGGGAGGCAGCGGCUUUAGGUUUGUGGUCAACUUGCUUGACAGGACAUGUUCUUGUAGACAAUGGGAAGUUUCUGGCCUUCCUUGCAAACAUGGUCUAGCAUUUAUCACAUCUCUUACCAAUGCACGCAUAGAGAACUAUGUGGACUCGUGUUACUCCAUUCACAAAUUUAGAGCAGCUUAUGACCAAUUAAUCCCUGCCAUGGUUGACAAGAACCAGUGGCCUAAAUCAGACCAUGGAUUCUUCAUGUUUCCACCACUACUAAAAGCCACAGCGGGUAGGCCUAAAACUGAGAGGUAUAAAGGCUGCAGUGAGAAGAAAAGAAAAAGCGGCCAACACUUAUGCCCUAUUUGCAAGGACUAUGGGCAUCAUUGGCACAAACGCAAGAAGGGUAACCCAGAUGACAUUGCUGCUAUUUUAGCUGUGAGAGGACCACCAAAGAAGAGGACAAAGACCACCAAAUCAGCUCAAUCAUCAAUUGUGCCUUGCGAGGAUGAUUCUCCAUCAGCCAUGCGUUUUCCGCCAAGCCAAAUCUUGGAGAAAACAACCAAGCAAAAAGGGAAAGGUGGUAAAUCUGGAUCCGGAGGAGCAAAAAGAUCAAGAACACAACCCAUUUGUGGCGAACAUGAUGUCGCCAAAAAGAAAACACAUGUUGCUGUGAAGGUACAUGCCAAAAGAAAAAGCAAAGAGGUUGCUGGAAUUACUCCGCACCUUCCGAUGGUGCCACUUGACAGCCCUGCAAUGGGUACACGCAGCAAGAAAUUCAACCCAGCUAGCCCUGCAAUGAGCACACGAAGCAAAAGGAGACUUAGUUUGUGA